UAUGGCAGAUAAGUGCACUGGAUUUAAAAUCCUUUCAUAAAGAACCAACUUUUAUUAAAA
Molecule: transfer RNA, 60 nt
Filed under: Temnothorax sp. at01
Lineage: Eukaryota; Metazoa; Arthropoda; Insecta; Hymenoptera; Formicidae
Description: tRNA-Leu
Source: RNAcentral